GUGCAGCAGUCGAGAAUCUUCGGCAAUGGGCGAAAGCCUGACCGAGCGGCGCCGCGUGCAGGAAGAAGGCCUUCGGGUUGUAAACUACUUUUAACCGAGAGGAACCUUCGGGUGACAGUAUCGGUUGAAUAAGGGGGUGCUAACUCUGUGCCAGCAGCAGCGGUAAUACAGAGCCCCCAAGCGUUAUCCGGAUUUAUUGGGCGUAAAGGGUCCGUAGACGCCUCGUCAAGUUUCUUAUUAAAUCUUCAGGGCUUAACCUUGAAGCUGUAGGAAAAACUAGCGAGGUAGAGGGCGUUAGAGGCCAGUGGAAUACACGGUGUAGGGGUGAAAUCCGUUGAUAUCGUGUAGAACACCAAAAGCGAAGGCAGCUGGCUGGAGCGACCCUGACGUUGAGGGACGAAAGCGUGGGGAGCGAAGAGGAUUAGAUACCCCCGUAGUCC
Molecule: ribosomal RNA, 440 nt
Filed under: uncultured bacterium
Lineage: Bacteria
Description: bacterial SSU rRNA
Rfam family: Bacterial small subunit ribosomal RNA
Source: RNAcentral